ACAGUGGACGCGAGCAUCUUUGUUGUAAGUAAUGAAGAGCGUACGGUGGAUGCCUUGGCACCAGGAGCCGAUGAAGGACGUAGGAGGCUGCGAUAAGCCUCGGGGAGCUGUCAACCGAGCUGUGAUCCGAGGGUGUCCGAAUGGGGAAACCCAGCACGAGUGAUGUCGUGUUACCUGCACCUGAAUAUAUAGGGUGUGUGGAGGGAACGUGGGGAAGUGAAACAUCUCAGUACCCACAGGAAGAGAAAACAACAGUGAUUCCGUGAGUAGUGGCGAGCGAAAGCGGAUGAGGCCAAACUUUGUGCGUGUGAUACCCGGCAGGGGUUGCGUAUGGAGGGUUGUGGGGUUUGCAUUGUCGAUUCUGCCGGAUCGGCCGACAGUGAGAAAUUGUGGUGUUAGUCGAAGUGGUCUGGAACGGCCUGUCGUAGAGGGUGAGAGUCCCGUAGACGAAAACACUGCAACUGUCGUUGCGAAUACCCAAGUAGCAGCGGGCCCGUGAAAUCUGCUGUGAAUCUGUCGGGACCACCCGAUAAGCCUGAAUACUCCCUGGUGACCGAUAGCGGACUAGUACCGUGAGGGAAAGGUGAAAAGUACCCCGGGAGGGGAGUGAAAUAGUACCUGAAACCGUGCGCUUACAAUCCGUCAAAGCUGGUGAACAGUUUACUGUUGCUGGUGAUGGCGUGCCUUUUGAAGAAUGAGCCUGCGAGUUAGUGGCAUGUCGCGAGGUUAACCCGUGUGGGGUAGCCGUAGCGAAAGCGAGUCCGAAUAGGGCGUAUCACCGUAUGGUGUGUAGUGGCGUGUUCUAGACCCGAAGCGGAGUGAUCUACCCAUGGCCAGGUUGAAGCGACGGUAAGACGUCGUGGAGGACCGAACCCACUUAGGUUGAAAACUGAGGGGAUGAGUUGUGGGUAGGGGUGAAAGGCCAAUCAAACUCCGUGAUAGCUGGUUCUCCCCGAAAUGCAUUUAGGUGCAGCGUCACGUGUUUCUCACCGGAGGUAGAGCUACUGGAUGGUCUAGGGGGCCUACAAGCUUACCGAAAUCAGCCAAACUCCGAAUGCCGGUGAGUGAGAGCGUGGCAGUGAGACUGCGGGCGAUAAGGUUCGUAGUCGAGAGGGAAACAGCCCAGAUCGCCAGCUAAGGUCCCUAAGCGUGUACUAAGUGGAAAAGGAUGUGGGGUCGCGAAGACAACCAGGAGGUUGGCUUAGAAGCAGCCACCCUUGAAAGAGUGCGUAAUAGCUCACUGGUCAAGUGAUCCUGCGCCGACAAUGUAGCGGGGCUCAAGUACACCACCGAAGCUGCGGCACUCACACAACAGCCCCAUGCAAGUCUGCGGAUUUGUGUGCAGGUGUGUGGGUGGGUAGGGGAGCGUCGU
RNAcentral lists this ribosomal RNA (1372 nucleotides) under Rhodococcus sp. EPR-147. RNAcentral's name for it is "bacterial LSU rRNA". It matches the Rfam family "Bacterial large subunit ribosomal RNA", at positions 1 to 1242 of the family's 2925-position model. RNAcentral also lists the same sequence under 1 other name. Lineage: Bacteria; Bacillati; Actinomycetota; Actinomycetes; Mycobacteriales; Nocardiaceae. The record is from RNAcentral.